Molecule: ribosomal RNA, 375 nt
Filed under: uncultured eukaryote
Lineage: Eukaryota
Description: partial 18S ribosomal RNA
Rfam family: Eukaryotic small subunit ribosomal RNA
Source: RNAcentral
CAAUAGCGUAUAUUUAAGUUGUUGCAGUUAAAAAGCUCGUAGUUGGAUUUCGGUUAAGAGCGACCGGUCCGCCGUUUGGUGUGCACUGGUUGGUUUUAACUUCCUGUAGAGGACGUGCUCUGGGUUUAACGACCUGGACUCGGAGUCUACGUGGUUACUUUGAAAAAAUUAGAGUGUUCAAAGCGGGCUUACGCUUGAAUAUUUCAGCAUGGAAUAACACUAUAGGACUCCUGUCCUAUUUCGUUGGUCUCGGGACGGGAGUAAUGAUUAAGAGGAACAGUUGGGGGCAUUGGUAUUUCAUUGUCAGAGGUGAAAUUCUUGGAUUUAUGAAAGACGAACUUCUGCAAAAGCAUUUGCCAAGGAUGUUUUCAUUAA